CAGCAGCCGCGGUAAUACGAAGGUGGCUAGCGUUGUUCGGAAUUACUGGGCGUAAAGGGCGCGUAGGCGGCCAUUCAAGUUAGAUGUGAAAGCCCUGGGCUCAACCUAGGAAUUGCAUUUGAUACUGUUUGGCUUGAGUUCGGGAGAGGUGAGUGGAAUUCCCAGUGUAGAGGUGAAAUUCGUAGAUAUUGGGAAGAACACCAGUGGCGAAGGCGGCUCACUGGACCGACACUGACGCUGAGGCGCGAAAGCGUGGGGAGCAAACAGGAUUAGAUACCCCCGUAGUCCCUGUCUCUUAUAC
RNAcentral lists this ribosomal RNA (301 nucleotides) under uncultured bacterium. RNAcentral describes it as "partial 16S ribosomal RNA". It matches the Rfam family "Bacterial small subunit ribosomal RNA", at positions 509 to 807 of the family's 1533-position model. The record is from RNAcentral.